This 460-nucleotide ribosomal RNA is filed under the name uncultured bacterium. RNAcentral describes it as "partial 16S ribosomal RNA". It matches the Rfam family "Bacterial small subunit ribosomal RNA", at positions 338 to 795 of the family's 1533-position model. The record is from RNAcentral.
CCUACGGGAGGCAGCAGUGAGGAAUAUUGGUCAAUGGACGAGAGUCUGAACCAGCCAAGUAGCGUGAAGGAUGACUGCCCUAUGGGUUGUAAACUUCUUUUAUAUGGGAAUAAAAUGUUCCACGUGUGGGAUUUUGUAUGUACCAUAUGAAUAAGGAUCGGCUAACUCCGUGCCAGCAGCCGCGGUAAUACGGAGGAUCCGAGCGUUAUCCGGAUUUAUUGGGCUUAAAGGGAGCGUAGGUGGAUUGUUAAGUCAGUUGUGAAAGUUUGGGGCUCAACCGUAAAAUUGCAGUUGAAACUGGCAGUCUGGAGUACAGUAGAGGUGAGCGGAAUUCGUGGUGUAGGGGUGAAAUGCUUAGAUAUCACGAAGAACUCCAGUUGCGAAGGCAGUUAACUGGAAUACAACUGACACUGAGGAGCGAAAGUGUGGGUAUCAAACAGGAUUAGAUACCCGAGUAGUC